Molecule: non-coding RNA, 69 nt
Organism: Podarcis lilfordi (Lilford's wall lizard)
Lineage: Eukaryota; Metazoa; Chordata; Lepidosauria; Squamata; Lacertidae
Source: the annotation of a GenBank genome assembly
GCAGUAGUUCAGUGGUAGAGCAUCUGGUUGGCAUGCAGAUCAUCCUAGGUUCAAUCCCUGACAUCUGAA